GUAGGAGAUAUCUAUUAACUAAGAGCACGUUGUAGUCAUGCUAACACUUUCACUUUACGUCCUAUACUUUUAUCAGAGUUGUUUAGCCUUUCAGAAAUUUAUACGACUGUAGCAAAAAGAACUUCUAGUACUUUUUAUGUUGCUUUAUUUUUAUUCCUAUUAUUUCAUAUGAUAUUGUCCUCAGAUGGUUUGAUUGGAGUAAUAUGGUCAGUGAGGAUUCCUAUAGCCGAUUCCUAUAGCCGACCCCAACUUGCUUGGGACUGAGGUGUAGUUGUUGUAUUGUUGGGCAGCUGAGUAAGGUUUUUAGAGAGCAAAUUUAAGGAGAGAUUUUCACGAGGCAUGGGAGAAAAUGGAGGAAUGAGUUGCCGGAGAUUGAUCAGAGAAAAAAAAGCUAUGAACUUAAAGAAAGGAACUUCACUGACAUCCUCACCGACACAAGAUGUUUCAGGUCAGGGUUAUGUACCCAGGGUUAAUCUGAUAAACUACUCCAUUUGAGAAUUAUUAAAUUAUCGAACAUCAUAGCAUAUACAUGGAUAAUGUUAAUAUCUGCCAAACAAAUGCAAAUCUCAGGUGUUUCAUUUUGAUAAGGAAGACCAGCUCAGGUGCUUCAUUGGGUCCCAGAUUCACUUUAAAACUUAUUUGCAAUGCAAUCUUGAGAGCAAACAG
Long non-coding RNA from Solanum dulcamara, 666 nucleotides. RefSeq lists it as uncharacterized. The record is from RefSeq and is a predicted model, not a curated record. Lineage: Eukaryota; Viridiplantae; Streptophyta; Magnoliopsida; Solanales; Solanaceae. The transcript has 3 exons.